UGUGUUUAUGAGGAGUGACUGUGUGUUUAUGAGGAGUGACUGUGUGUGUUUAUGAGGUGUGACUGUGUGUGUUUAUGAGGUGUGACUGUGUGUGUUUAUGAGGAGUGACUGUGUGUGUUUAUGAGGUGUGACUGUGUGUGUUUAUGAGGUGUGACUGUGUGUUUAUGAGGAGUGACUGUGUGUGUUUGAGGUGUGACUGUGUGUGUUUAUGAGGUGUGACUGUGUGUGUUUGAGGUGUGACUGUGUGUGUUUAUGAGGAGUGACUGUGUGUGCUUAUGAGGAGUGACUGUGUGUGUUUAUGAG
Molecule: long non-coding RNA, 303 nt
Filed under: Salmo salar (Atlantic salmon)
Lineage: Eukaryota; Metazoa; Chordata; Actinopteri; Salmoniformes; Salmonidae
Description: lncRNA (ENSSSAG00000115119.1)
Source: RNAcentral